RNAcentral lists this ribosomal RNA (35 nucleotides) under Cladocopium sp. clade C. Its description in RNAcentral is "partial 28S ribosomal RNA". Lineage: Eukaryota; Dinophyceae; Suessiales; Symbiodiniaceae. RNAcentral also lists the same sequence under 20 other names. The record is from RNAcentral.
AGGUGCAUGCCUCUAGCAUGAAGUCAGACAAGUGA